CCUACGGGAGGCUGCAGUGAGGAAUAUUGGUCAAUGGACGAGAGUCUGAACCAGCCAAGCAGCGUGAAGGAUGACUGCCCUAUGGGUUGUAAACUUCUUUUAUAUGGGGAUAAACCGUUCCACGAGUGAGAUUUUGUAUUUACCAUAUGAAUAAGGAUCGGCUAACUCCGUGCCAGCAGCCGCGGUAAUACGGUGGAUCCGAGCGUUACCCGGAUUUGUUGGGUUUAAAGGGAGCGUAGGGGGAUUGUUAAGUCAGUUGUGAAAGUUUCGGGCUCAACCGGGAAAUUGCAGUUGAAACUGGCAGUCUUGAGUACAGUAGAGGUGGGCAGAAUUCGUGGUGUAGCGGUGAAAUGCUUAGAGAUCACGAAGAACUCCGGUUGCGAAGGCAGUUCACUGGACUGAAACUGACACUGAGGCUCGAAAGUGUGGGUAUCAAACAGGAUUAGAUACCCCAGUAGUC
This 460-nucleotide ribosomal RNA is filed under the name uncultured bacterium. RNAcentral describes it as "partial 16S ribosomal RNA". It matches the Rfam family "Bacterial small subunit ribosomal RNA", at positions 338 to 795 of the family's 1533-position model. The record is from RNAcentral.